CUGAGUUGAAGCAAAUGUUUGUUGAAUUAAGUGGUGAUUUCCUGCUUGUCUUUAAGAAGAAGGAGAAAAGGGAAAGAAAAGUUUUUAUUGGUGGAGUUUGGGUGUUCUGUGAUUAUUCUGUAGCAGUAGUGGGAAACACAAAUGUUGAGUGUGCCAGGUACCUGGUACAGAUCUGGGUACUGGGUACAGACUGCGCCAGGGCCGUGCACAUGCUCACUGUGGUGGAAUGUAGCUGUCAGAGGCGAUGGGCUAGAGAUGAGAGUUCUUUAGAAGGAAGAGAAACGGUCUGGAUGUACUACAGAAGCACAUGUCAGCUUUGCAGGAAGCUAGAGAAUACAUGCAGCAUCUCUUCACCUGAGGAGAAGACUUUUCUACCCUGA
Molecule: long non-coding RNA, 380 nt
Filed under: Lepisosteus oculatus (spotted gar)
Lineage: Eukaryota; Metazoa; Chordata; Actinopteri; Semionotiformes; Lepisosteidae
Description: lncRNA (ENSLOCG00000021360.1)
Source: RNAcentral